GGGGAUGUAGCUCAGUGGGAGAGCACUUGCUUUGCAUGUAAGAGGCCCUGGGUUCAACCCCCAGCAUCUCCA
RNAcentral lists this transfer RNA (72 nucleotides) under Mesitornis unicolor (brown roatelo). It matches the Rfam family "tRNA". Rfam says of the family: Transfer RNA (tRNA) molecules are approximately 80 nucleotides in length. Their secondary structure includes four short double-helical elements and three loops (D, anti-codon, and T loops). The record is from Rfam by way of RNAcentral. Lineage: Eukaryota; Metazoa; Chordata; Aves; Mesitornithiformes; Mesitornithidae. RNAcentral also lists the same sequence under 3 other names.